AACGAACGCUGGCGGCAGGCUUAACACAUGCAAGUCGAGCGCCCCGCAAGGGGAGCGGCAGACGGGUGAGUAACGCGUGGGAAUCUACCGUGCCCUACGGAAUAGCUCCGAGAAACUGGAAUUAAUACCGUAUACGCCCUACGGGGGAAAGAUUUAUCGGGGCAUGAUGAGCCCGCGUUGGAUUAGCUAGUUGGUGGGGUAAAGGCCUACCAAGGCGACGAUCCAUAGCUGGUCUGAGAGGAUGAUCAGCCACAUUGGGACUGAGACACGGCCCAAACUCCUACGGGAGGCAGCAGUGGGGAAUAUUGGACAAUGGGCGCAAGCCUGAUCCAGCCAUGCCGCGUGAGUGAUGAAGGUCUUAGGAUUGUAGAGCUCUUUCACCGGUGAAGAUAAUGACGGUAACCGGAGAAGAAGCCCCGGCUAACUUCGUGCCAGCCGCCGCAGUAA
RNAcentral lists this ribosomal RNA (447 nucleotides) under uncultured bacterium. RNAcentral's name for it is "partial 16S ribosomal RNA". It matches the Rfam family "Bacterial small subunit ribosomal RNA", at positions 29 to 523 of the family's 1533-position model. The record is from RNAcentral.